Molecule: ribosomal RNA, 504 nt
Filed under: uncultured bacterium
Lineage: Bacteria
Description: bacterial SSU rRNA
Rfam family: Bacterial small subunit ribosomal RNA
Source: RNAcentral
GACGAACGCUGGCGGCGUGGAUUAGGCAUGCAAGUCGAACGGUAUCAUCCUUUCGGGGGUGAGAGAGCGGCGAACUGGUGAGUAACACGUAGGUUAUCUACCCUCAAGACGGGGACAACCCAGGGAAACUUGGGCUAAUACCGGAUGUGAGCAACUUUUAGUUGUUUGAAAGGUGGCGUAAGCUGUCGCUUGGGGAUGAGCCUGCGUCCUAUUAGUUAGUUGGUGAGGUAACGGCUCACCUAGGCAAUGAUAGGUAGGCGGCCUUAACGGGUGGUCGCCCACACUGGGAUUGAGAUACGGCCCAGACUCCUACGGGAGGCAGCAGUCGAGAAUAGUCUACAAUGGCCGAAAGGCUGAUAGUGCGACGCCGCGUGAACGAAGAAGCCCUUCGGGGUGUAAAGUUCUUUUAUAUGUGAGCAGUGCUUUCUAUGUGAACAGCAUGGGGAGAGAGAUAUUAAGCAUAUGAAUAAGCAACGGCUAACUCCGUGCCAGCAGCCGCGGUAA